Molecule: ribosomal RNA, 301 nt
Filed under: uncultured bacterium
Lineage: Bacteria
Description: partial 16S ribosomal RNA
Rfam family: Bacterial small subunit ribosomal RNA
Source: RNAcentral
CAGUCGCGCGGUAAUACGUAGGGUGCGAGCGUUAAUCGGAAUUACUGGGCGUAAAGCGUGCGCAGGCGGUGAUGUAAGACAGAUGUGAAAUCCCCGGGCUCAACCUGGGAACUGCAUUUGUGACUGGCAAGCUAGAGUGUGGCAGAGGGGGGUGGAAUUCCGCGUGUAGCAGUGAAAUGCGUAGAUAUGCGGAGGAACACCGAUGGCGAAGGCAGCCCCCUGGGCCAACACUGACACUCAUGCACGGAAGCGUGGGGAGCAAACAGGAUUAGAUACCCGAGUAGUCCCUGUCUCUUAUACA